Molecule: ribosomal RNA, 444 nt
Filed under: uncultured bacterium
Lineage: Bacteria
Description: partial 16S ribosomal RNA
Rfam family: Bacterial small subunit ribosomal RNA
Source: RNAcentral
CUACGGGGCGCUGCAGUGGGGAAUAUUGCACAAUGGGCGCAAGCCUGAUGCAGCAACGCCGCGUGAGGGACGACGGCCUUCGGGUUGUAAACCUCUUUUAGUAGGGAAGAAGCGAAAGUGACGGUACCUGCAGAAAAAGCACCGGCUAACUACGUGCCAGCAGCCGCGGUAAUACGUAGGGUGCAAGCGUUGUCCGGAAUUAUUGGGCGUAAAGAGCUCGUAGGCGGUUUGUCGCGUCUGCUGUGAAAUCCCGAGGCUCAACCUCGGGCCUGCAGUGGGUACGGGCAAACUAGAGUGUGGUAGGGGAGAUUGGAACUCCUGGUGUAGCGGUGGAAUGCGCAGAUAUCAGGAAGAACACCGAUGGCGAAGGCAGAUCUCUGGGCCAUUACUGACGCUGAGGAGCGAAAGCGUGGGGAGCGAACAGGAUUAGAUACCCCAGUAGUC